This 28-nucleotide small RNA is filed under the name Bombyx mori (domestic silkworm). RNAcentral describes it as "ovarian small RNA-13245". The record is from RNAcentral. Lineage: Eukaryota; Metazoa; Arthropoda; Insecta; Lepidoptera; Bombycidae.
CAGCGGCUUGAAUUUUCACGGGUACUGG